Molecule: transfer RNA, 75 nt
Filed under: Podarcis lilfordi (Lilford's wall lizard)
Lineage: Eukaryota; Metazoa; Chordata; Lepidosauria; Squamata; Lacertidae
Description: tRNA.Lys
Source: RNAcentral
UUACAUACUUCCAGUCGGUAGAGCAUGGGACUCUUCAUCUCAGGGUUGUGGGUUCAAGCCCCACGUUGGGCAAAA